RNAcentral lists this ribosomal RNA (424 nucleotides) under uncultured bacterium. RNAcentral describes it as "bacterial SSU rRNA". It matches the Rfam family "Bacterial small subunit ribosomal RNA", at positions 9 to 433 of the family's 1533-position model. The record is from RNAcentral.
GAGUUUGAUCGUGGCUCAGAUUGAACGCUGGCGGCAGGCCUAACACAUGCAAGUCGGGCGGUAGAGAGAAGCUUGCUUCUCUUGAGAGCGGGCGGACGGGUGAGUAAUGCCUAGGAAUCUGCCUGGUAGUGGGGGAUAACGCUCGGAAACGGACGCUAAUACCGCAUACGUCCUACGGGAGAAAGCAGGGGACCUUCGGGCCUUGCGCUAUCAGAUGAGCCUAGGUCGGAUUAGCUAGUUGGUGAGGUAAUGGCUCACCAAGGCGACGAUCCGUAACUGGUCUGAGAGGAUGAUCAGUCACACUGGAACUGAGACACGGUCCAGGACUCCUACGGGAGGCAGCAGUGGGGAAUAUUGGACAAUGGGCGAAAGCCUGAUCCAGCCAUGCCGCGUGUGUGAAGAAGGUCUUCGGAUUGUAAAGCAC